Molecule: ribosomal RNA, 514 nt
Filed under: uncultured bacterium
Lineage: Bacteria
Description: partial 16S ribosomal RNA
Rfam family: Bacterial small subunit ribosomal RNA
Source: RNAcentral
GAUGAACGCUGGCGGCGUGCCUAAUACAUGCAAGUCGAGCGAACAGAUGAGAAGCUUGCUUCUCUGAUGUUAGCGGCGGACGGGUGAGUAACACGUGGGUAACCUACCUAUAAGACUGGGAUAACUCCGGGAAACCGGGGCUAAUACCUGAUAAUAUUUUGAACCGCAUGGUUCAAUAGUGAAAGGCGGCUUCGGCUGUCACUUAUAGAUGGACCCGCGCCGUAUUAGCUAGUUGGUAAGGUAACGGCUUACCAAGGCGACGAUACGUAGCCGACCUGAGUGGGUGAUCGGCCACACUGGAACUGAGACACGGUCCAGACUCCUACGGGAGGCAGCAGUAGGGAAUCUUCCGCAAUGGGCGAAAGCCUGACGGAGCAACGCCGCGUGAGUGAUGAAGGUUUUCGGAUCGUAAAACUCUGUUGUUAGGGAAGAACAAAUUUGUUAGUAACUGAACAAGUCUUGACGGUACCUAACCAGAAAGCCACGGCUAACUACGUGCCAGCCGCCGCAGUAA